CACUAUUAACUUUAACGAAGUAGCUUUGAUGGCGGGGAAGAGACAGCUGAUACUACACUUCCCUAACAAUAAACUACACUGACAGAUAAAAACAAACAUCGUAAAAGAAGGCCAGCUAGAAGAUGCCCAUAAGCCAGGAACUGAUUCCAGGUUGUUGGUAACCAGAGCCGGCAUGUGUGUCUGCUCUGCGACGUGUGUGCAUUUCACAGGAGGCACGGCAGAUGCCUCUGCAGCAGCGCGGUCCGCAGCCUCGUGGCUAGAGCAGGUUUAUGGAAGCCAGCCACUCUGGUCACCAGUCAGUGCUCCUCAGGAAUGUGUUUGGAGGCAACCUUCAGGGAAAGCUCCAUUUGGGUUCCAGAUUGAUGAGUGUUUACAAGAGUUGUCAUCCCACAUGAGAUGCGAGAAGUAAUGGGUGGCAAAACAAACAUUGUCCCACCUCAGCUGGAAGGAGAGCAGGAGUGAACAGUGGCUGCGUGAAGAUGUUAUGUGUGUAGUGCAGGGGGAGAGGGAAGAAGAGAGGGAUGCUAAAUCUUUUGCAUGGGGGCUGAUUCAGAGGUUGGAGGCAUGAACCUAAAACCAUCUGACCGUGACUAUUACUGGUUUCACAUUGUUCUGACAGCAG
RNAcentral lists this long non-coding RNA (622 nucleotides) under Struthio camelus australis. RNAcentral's name for it is "lncRNA (ENSSCUG00000002078.1)". The record is from RNAcentral. Lineage: Eukaryota; Metazoa; Chordata; Aves; Struthioniformes; Struthionidae.